Homo sapiens (human) is the source of this 117-nucleotide non-coding RNA. It matches the Rfam family "Metazoan signal recognition particle RNA". Rfam says of the family: The signal recognition particle (SRP) is a universally conserved ribonucleoprotein. NCBI's taxonomy places the organism in Eukaryota, Metazoa, Chordata, Mammalia, Primates, Hominidae. The record is from Rfam.
GCCGGGCAUGGUGGCUCAUGCCUGUAAUCCCAGCACUUUGGGAGGCUGAGAUGGGAGGAUCACCUGAGGUCAGGAGUUUGAGACCAGCCUGGACAACAUGGUGAAACCCCAUCUCUA